Molecule: long non-coding RNA, 664 nt
Filed under: Equus caballus (horse)
Lineage: Eukaryota; Metazoa; Chordata; Mammalia; Perissodactyla; Equidae
Description: lncRNA (ENSECAG00000044392.1)
Source: RNAcentral
GAAAGGCAGAACCGAGGAGAGUCCAGGGGCCAGGAGGCAAGAUUAGACUUGGGAACAAAGUGGUGAAUAUGAAUGCAACCGACGGCUCUGCUGACACAGCAGAUAAUGGCUUGAAGGGUGAAAACUCCAGACCAGGUCUGCGACCAGCCUUUCACAGCAGAGAGAUGGCUCUGAAGCUUGGGAGCAGCCAGGUUGUCAGCUGUCUGACGCGGCCGAUGGAUGGGAGGCGGAGGGCAAACUUCGACAGACUUCUCCCCUCCUUACUUUCCCUCAUUCUUUUUUUCUCUCCCAACAGGAGGUUGGAUGUGCUUGAGAUUUCUGCAAAAGAAGAGGGGGGAUGGGCAGCUUACAUGUGGGGGCUCUCCCGUCAUGUCUCAGUCCUGCCCUGCACAGCGGUGUCUCCUUCGGGCUUUUCCUCACUCAGGAAGAUGUUUGUUGAGUGGCUUCUACUGUCACUACUAAAAGCGGAAGGUGCCGCGGGCACCACCCUCUGAGGUGAACUGUCAGUGAGCCCUCUGCAUUGGGAGAGCGGGCAGGGCUGCCCCGUUCCCUUGACCCCGACCUCUUUGCACUGGGAGUGGCUGGGGGGAGAGGCUUCCCUGCCCGUGGCGGAGGGGGGGAUUCUGUUUCAAUCACCUCUUCUCCACUCGUUGCUGAGGGAGGG